AAUAACCUGGGGAAUACUUGUUUCGCAAACUCUGUUCUACAAGCACUGUUUUGCACCAGGAGUUUUCAUUCUGGUAUUAUUAGUCAUGUCAAAGUACCAGGGUGUAACCUUCUAUCUCCUUGUUUUUUGUGUGAGGUUAAAGCUGCUUUUGUGGUUGUUCUUGUAGAUCCUGGACCAUCUUUUUCUCCUUCCACGUUUGUGUCUUACAAUGUCAUGAACUCUAUUUUACCUCAAUGGCAAAUGGGAGCACAAGAAGAUGCUCACGAGUUUUUUCUGUGUUUAUUACGUGUAGUGGGAACCUA
Amphimedon queenslandica is the source of this 302-nucleotide long non-coding RNA. RefSeq lists it as uncharacterized. Lineage: Eukaryota; Metazoa; Porifera; Demospongiae; Haplosclerida; Niphatidae. The transcript has 3 exons. The record is from RefSeq and is a predicted model, not a curated record.